GGCUCAGGACGAACGCUGGCGGCGUGCCUAAUACAUGCAAGUCGAGCGGACAGAUGGGAGCUUGCUCCCUGAUGUUAGCGGCGGACGGGUGAGUAACACGUGGGUAACCUGCCUGUAAGACUGGGAUAACUCCGGGAAACCGGGGCUAAUACCGGAUGGUUGUUUGAACCGCAUGGUUCAAACAUAAAAGGUGGCUUCGGCUACCACUUACAGAUGGACCCGCGGCGCAUUAGCUAGUUGGUGAGGUAACGGCUCACCAAGGCAACGAUGCGUAGCCGACCUGAGAGGGUGAUCGGCCACACUGGGACUGAGACACGGCCCAGACUCCUACGGGAGGCAGCAGUAGGGAAUCUUCCGCAAUGGACGAAAGUCUGACGGAGCAACGCCGCGUGAGUGAUGAAGGUUUUCGGAUCGUAAAGCUCUGUUGUUAGGGAAGAACAAGUACCGUUCGAAUAGGGCGGUACCUUGACGGUACCUAACCAGAAAGCCACGGCUAACUACGUGCCAGCAGCCGCGGUAAUACGUAGGUGGCAAGCGUUGUCCGGAAUUAUUGGGCGUAAAGGGCUCGCAGGCGGUUUCUUAAGUCUGAUGUGAAAGCCCCCGGCUCAACCGGGGAGGGUCAUUGGAAACUGGGGAACUUGAGUGCAGAAGAGGAGAGUGGAAUUCCACGUGUAGCGGUGAAAUGCGUAGAGAUGUGGAGGAACACCAGUGGCGAAGGCGACUCUCUGGUCUGUAACUGACG
RNAcentral lists this ribosomal RNA (742 nucleotides) under Bacillus inaquosorum. RNAcentral's name for it is "bacterial SSU rRNA". It matches the Rfam family "Bacterial small subunit ribosomal RNA", at positions 21 to 745 of the family's 1533-position model. Lineage: Bacteria; Bacillati; Bacillota; Bacilli; Caryophanales; Bacillaceae. The record is from RNAcentral.